Molecule: ribosomal RNA, 415 nt
Filed under: Streptococcus constellatus
Lineage: Bacteria; Bacillati; Bacillota; Bacilli; Lactobacillales; Streptococcaceae
Description: bacterial SSU rRNA
Rfam family: Bacterial small subunit ribosomal RNA
Source: RNAcentral
GACGAACGCUGGCGGCGUGCCUAAUACAUGCAAGUAGAACGCACAGGAUGCACCGUAGUUUACUACACCGUAUUCUGUGAGUUGCGAACGGGUGAGUAACGCGUAGGUAACCUGCCUGGUAGUGGGGGAUAACUAUUGGAAACGAUAGCUAAUACCGCAUAAGAACAUUUACUGCAUGGUAGAUGUUUAAAAGGUGCAAAAGCAUCACUACCAGAUGGACCUGCGUUGUAUUAGCUAGUUGGUGAGGUAACGGCUCACCAAGGCAACGAUACAUAGCCGACCUGAGAGGGUGAUCGGCCACACUGGGACUGAGACACGGCCCAGACUCCUACGGGAGGCAGCAGUAGGGAAUCUUCGGCAAUGGGGGGAACCCUGACCGAGCAACGCCGCGUGAGUGAAGAAGGUUUUCGGAUUG